UGGCUGUCGUCAGCUCGUGUCGUGAGAUGUUGGGUUAAGUCCCGUAACGAGCGCAACCCUUGUCCUUAUUUACCAGCACGUUAUGGUGGGCACUCUAAGGAGACUGCCGGUGACAAACCGGAGGAAGGUGGGGAUGACGUCAAGUCAUCAUGGCCCUUACGGCCAGGGCUACACACGUGCUACAAUGGUCGGUACAAAGGGUUGCCAAGCCGCGAGGUGGAGCUAAUCCCAUAAAACCGAUCGUAGUCCGGAUCGCAGUCUGCAACUCGACUGCGUGAAGUCGGAAUCGCUAGUAAUCGUGAAUCAG
RNAcentral lists this ribosomal RNA (307 nucleotides) under Pseudomonas sp. Expt1_423E5_P40_G01. RNAcentral describes it as "bacterial SSU rRNA". It matches the Rfam family "Bacterial small subunit ribosomal RNA", at positions 1046 to 1352 of the family's 1533-position model. The record is from RNAcentral. Lineage: Bacteria; Pseudomonadati; Pseudomonadota; Gammaproteobacteria; Pseudomonadales; Pseudomonadaceae.